This 479-nucleotide ribosomal RNA is filed under the name uncultured bacterium. RNAcentral's name for it is "partial 16S ribosomal RNA". It matches the Rfam family "Bacterial small subunit ribosomal RNA", at positions 28 to 507 of the family's 1533-position model. The record is from RNAcentral.
GAUGAACGCUAGCGGGAGGCCUAACACAUGCAAGCCGAGCGGUAGAGUUUCUUCGGAAACUUGAGAGCGGCGCACGGGUGCGUAACACGUGUGCAACCUACCUUUAUCUGGGGGAUAGCCUUUCGAAAGGAAGAUUAAUACCCCAUAAUAUAAUGAUUGGCAUCAAUUAUUAUUGAAAACUCCGGUGGAUAGAGAUGGGCACGCGCAAGAUUAGAUAGUUGGUGAGGUAACGGCUCACCAAGUCAAUGAUCUUUAGGGGUCCUGAGAGGGAGAUCCCCCACACUGGUACUGAGACACGGACCAGACUCCUACGGGAGGCAGCAGUGAGGAAUAUUGGACAAUGGGUGAGAGCCUGAUCCAGCCAUCCCGCGUGAAGGAUGACGGUCCUAUGGAUUGUAAACUUCUUUUGUACAGGGAUAAACCUACCCUCGUGAGGGUAGCUGAAGGUACUGUACGAAUAGGCACCGGCUAACUCCGUG